RNAcentral lists this ribosomal RNA (320 nucleotides) under uncultured eukaryote. RNAcentral's name for it is "partial 18S ribosomal RNA". It matches the Rfam family "Eukaryotic small subunit ribosomal RNA", at positions 1470 to 1796 of the family's 1831-position model. The record is from RNAcentral.
CCCUUAGAUGUUCUGGGCCGCACACGCGCUACACUGAAGGAGGCAGCGUGUACUCCUGGAUCGAAAGAUUUGGGUAACCCGCGAAUCUCCUUCGUGCUAGGGAUUGAGGUUUGCAAUUAUCCUUCAUGAACGAGGAAUUCCCAGUAAGUGCAAGUCAUAAGCUUGCGCUGACUACGUCCCUGCCCUUUGUACACACCGCCCGUCGCUACUACCGAGUGGGUGAUCCGGUGAACUAUUCGGACUCCGGUUAUUCCAGCAUUUGGUUUUGCUGGGGAAAGUUUCGUGAACCUUAUCACUUGGAGGAAGGAGAANUCGUANCA